AAAUACAUAAUUUAUAUACGGGCUUUGGCAAACAAAUGCGAUAUUUAGGACAGUGCUGGUCGGAUGAAAGCGCCUAUCAAUUCAAAUUUUCUUCGUGCUUGAUAAGGAAAUGUUGCAGAUAAGAAUAAUGAAAAAGAAGAAAAAAAAAGAAUAAACAAAAGCAAAAUG
RNAcentral lists this unclassified non-coding RNA (168 nucleotides) under Schizosaccharomyces pombe (fission yeast). RNAcentral describes it as "non-coding RNA (predicted)". The record is from RNAcentral. Lineage: Eukaryota; Fungi; Ascomycota; Schizosaccharomycetes; Schizosaccharomycetales; Schizosaccharomycetaceae.